CCCGCUGAACUUAAGCAUAUCAAUAAGCGGAGGAAAAGAAACUAACAAGGAUUCCCCUAGUAACUGCGAGUGAAGCGGGAAAAGCUCAAAUUUGAAAUCUGGUGGUCUUUGGCCAUCCGAGUUGUAAUUUAGAGAAGCGUCUUCCGCGCUGGACCGUGCACAAGUCUCCUGGAACGGAGCGUCGUAGAGGGUGAGAAUCCCGUCUUUGGCACGGACACACCAGGGCUUUUGCGAUGCGCUCUCGAAGAGUCGAGUUGUUUGGGAAUGCAGCUCAAAAUGGGUGGUGAACUCCAUCUAAAGCUAAAUAUUGGCGAGAGACCGAUAGCGAACAAGUACCGUGAGGGAAAGAUGAAAAGCACUUUGGAAAGAGAGUGAAACAGUACGUGAAAUUGUUGAAAGGGAAACGCUUGAAGUCAGUCGCGUCGUCCGAGACUCAGCCUCGCCUCGGCUUGGCGUACUUCUCGGCCCGACGGGUCAGCAUCAAUUUCGCCUCUCGGAUAAUGGCGAGGGAAAAGUGACACCUUUACGGUGUGUUAUAGCCCUCGAUUCGCAUACGGCGAUUGGGAUUGAGGAACUCAGCGCGCCUUUAUGGUCGGGGUAGCAACCCACGUAACGCGCUCAGGAUGCUGGCAUAAUGGCUUUAAGCGACCCGUCUUGAAACACGG
This 665-nucleotide ribosomal RNA is filed under the name uncultured fungus. RNAcentral's name for it is "eukaryotic LSU rRNA". It matches the Rfam family "Eukaryotic large subunit ribosomal RNA", at positions 24 to 664 of the family's 3401-position model. The record is from RNAcentral. Lineage: Eukaryota; Fungi.